GCCAUGAUGGCGGAAUCGGUAGACGCAACAGACUUAAAAUCUGUCGAGGGCAACCUCGUGCGGGUUCAAGUCCCGCUCGUGGCACCA
Molecule: transfer RNA, 87 nt
Filed under: Pseudopedobacter sp.
Lineage: Bacteria; Pseudomonadati; Bacteroidota; Sphingobacteriia; Sphingobacteriales; Sphingobacteriaceae
Description: tRNA-Leu
Rfam family: tRNA
About the family: Transfer RNA (tRNA) molecules are approximately 80 nucleotides in length. Their secondary structure includes four short double-helical elements and three loops (D, anti-codon, and T loops). Further hydrogen bonds mediate the characteristic L-shaped molecular structure. tRNAs have two regions of fundamental functional importance: the anti-codon, which is responsible for specific mRNA codon recognition, and the 3' end, to which the tRNAs corresponding amino acid is attached (by aminoacyl-tRNA synthetases). tRNAs cope with the degeneracy of the genetic code in two manners: having more than one tRNA (with a specific anti-codon) for a particular amino acid; and 'wobble' base-pairing, i.e. permitting non-standard base-pairing at the 3rd anti-codon position.
Source: RNAcentral